Molecule: long non-coding RNA, 1630 nt
Filed under: Homo sapiens (human)
Lineage: Eukaryota; Metazoa; Chordata; Mammalia; Primates; Hominidae
Description: HSALNT0078356
Source: RNAcentral
UAUAACUGGAACUCUGGGAAUGUAACGGGCAUGGUGUGCUUGUCUGAUGGACAGGGCAGCUUAGGGGAAUAAGUCUCUGCAGCGUUGUAGUGAAGAGAGAAUACGGGACAACUGCAGGACCACAGCUCAGCCAAGAGACAACCACAUGACUGAAGACAGAGAUCAUCUGGGUCAGUGUUUCAGAAAAUGUUGCCAAGAAACUUCAAAUGCAGAUUCCUGGACCUCCGUGCAAACUACUAUAUUAGAAGUGAGAGUGGGGGUGAGAUGGAGGAGAGGUGAUAUUGAGAACCUGCAUUUUUUAAAACUUUUAUUUUAGUUUCAGGGGUACAUGUGAAGGUUUGUUAUAUAGGUAAGCUCAUGUCACGUGGGUUUGUUUUACAGAUUACUUCAUCACCCAUAUAUUAAGCCUAGUACCGAAUAGUUCCUUUUUCUGCUCCUCUCCCUCCUUCAACCCUCCAUGCUCAAACAGACCCCAGUGUCUGUUGUUCCCUUUAUGUUCAUGAGUUCUCAUCAUUUAUCUCUCACUUAUAAGUGAGAACAUGUAGUAUUUGGUUUUCUGUUCCUCUGCUCCCUUGCAGCUGAGUUGGCCAUAUGACUGACAGCAAGCCCUGGAAUGCAGCCAGAAGUGAUAGAAGCCUCUUUCACACCAUGCUCCUAAAAUAUUCCAAGAAAUUUUCCAAACCUACUCUUUUUAGUCUGUGCAUCUGGAAGUGAAAGUUUUAGAAAGGGUAAAGUCACUUAAUGGAAAGGGCCCAGAUCUAGCCCCUCGGAGCCAAGCUGUCCAACUAGAAAUUCUGCAUUAGUAUUUGCGAGCCCAGUAAAAAAAAAAAAGUCCCACAAAGAUGUAGGAUCUCACUUUGCCUGCGUUAAUUCCCUGUCCUUUGCCCAGUUUCUCCUCUCUUGGAAGGCAGAGGCAGCUUCUGAUUUUGAUCACUUCAUGUCCAGGGAGCUCAAGUGUUGCAAGUAUCUGCUUAAAAUGCCAUGUGAUGCUAAUCAUCUCUGCACGAGCAGUUCAUCUCAUCUCUCCAGUAAAUUGCUUAUCACAGUAAAAGGAGGACCUCCUGCUUCAGACUCUAAGCUUCCGGAGAACAGGAACUGCAUCUUUUCUAUUUCACAUACCCAACUCCUCACACAAUGCAUGAUGCAAGUGGGAAUCUACAUAAAAUAUCUGAUGGAUAAAUGGAGUAGCACUGAUGCAUAUGAGACCCAGUGUUAACCAGAGGAAGCAAUCAACUCCAAGAUCAACUGCCAAGAUAAAAACCAGGACCAAGGAAAGCUUCUGAGAUAAAAUGAUUUUUAAGAUUAACGUAGUGGAUAUUUCCAAUUGUUUUUUUUAUACCCUUCAUCUGAAGAUGUACCUUCCACGACCCAGGACUGUCUUUCUCAACAACUUGGAAGCCAUCCCUUUGUAAUGUAAUGAUCAAGAAAAAUAGGGCCCAUGCCUACCUGUCUCCAUGGGAAGGGAAAUGAAACAAGACCAUCAAUUAAAAGAUCUUUGGAGAGAAAAUGCCAAGAGUGGAUGGAGAGGCAAUGGUGAAGCUGAGGCUGAAGUCGGAGGAAGCUGUGAACCCUGCAUGGGGUACCUGAACACCAGGGCAAGUUUCUGGCCCAGAAUGGCUUCUGGGAAAGG